Molecule: ribosomal RNA, 301 nt
Filed under: uncultured bacterium
Lineage: Bacteria
Description: partial 16S ribosomal RNA
Rfam family: Bacterial small subunit ribosomal RNA
Source: RNAcentral
CAGUCGCCACGGGAAUACGGAGGGGGCUAGCGUUGUUCGGAUUUACUGGGCGUAAAGGGCGCGUAGGCGGACUGAUAAGUCAGGGGUGAAAUCCCAAGGCUCAACCUUGGAACUGCCUUUGAUACUGUUUGUCUUGAGUUCGAGAGAGGUAAGUGGAACUGCGAGUGUAGAGGUGAAAUUCGUAGAUAUUCGCAAGAACACCAGUGGCGAAGGCGGCUUACUGGCUCGAAACUGACGCUGAGGCGCGAAAGCGUGGGGAGCAAACAGGAUUAGAUACCCGGGUAGUCCCUGUCUCUUAUAC